AGAGUUUGAUCCUGGCUCAGAACGAACGCUGGCGGCGUGCUUAACACAUGCAAGUCGAACGAGAAAGGCCCCUUCGGGGGACGAGUAGAGUGGCGCACGGGUGAGUAACGCGUAGGUAAUCUACCCUUAUACCUGGGAUAACAUUGGGAAACUGGUGCUAAUACCGGAUACACUUCUUAGCUGCGGGGCAAAGGAGGAAAGGUGACCUCUUGGUCAAAGUUACCGUACAGGGAUGAGCCUGCGUACCAUUAGCUAGUAGGUGAGGUAACGGCCCACCUAGGCGACGAUGGUUAGCGGGUCUGAGAGGAUGAUCCGCCACACUGGAACUGGAACACGGACCAGACUCCUACGGGAGGCAGCAGUGAGGAAUAUUGCGCAAUGGGGGAAACCCUGACGCAGCGACGCCGCGUGAGUGAGGAAGGCCUUCGGGUCGUAAAGCUCUGUCAGAAGGGAAGAAGUGUUAUACGGUUAAUACCCGUAUAAUUUGACGGUACCUUCAGAAGAAGCACCGGCUAACUCUGUGCCAGCAGCCGCGGUAAUACAGAGGGUGCAAGCGUUAAUCGGAAUUACUGGGCGUAAAGCGCGCGUAGGCGGUUUGGUCAGUCGGAUGUGAAAGCCCCGGGCUUAACCUGGGAAUUGCAUUCGAUACUGCCAGACUAGAGUGUAGUAGAGGGAAGCGGAAUUCCAGGUGUAGCGGUGAAAUGCGUAGAUAUCUGGAGGAACAUCAGUGGCGAAGGCGGCUUCCUGGACUAACACUGACGCUGAGGUGCGAAAGCGUGGGGAGUAAACAGGAUUAGAUACCCUGGUAGUCCACGCCGUAAACGAUGUCAACUAGACGUUGGGGGGUUUAACCCUUUAGUGUCGCAGCUAACGCGAUAAGUUGACCGCCUGGGGAGUACGGCCGCAAGGUUAAAACUCAAAGGAAUUGACGG
Molecule: ribosomal RNA, 932 nt
Filed under: uncultured bacterium
Lineage: Bacteria
Description: bacterial SSU rRNA
Rfam family: Bacterial small subunit ribosomal RNA
Source: RNAcentral